Molecule: ribosomal RNA, 253 nt
Filed under: uncultured bacterium
Lineage: Bacteria
Description: partial 16S ribosomal RNA
Rfam family: Bacterial small subunit ribosomal RNA
Source: RNAcentral
UACGAAGGGGGCUAGCGUUGUUCGGAUUUACUGGGCGUAAAGCGCACGUAGGCGGACUAUUAAGUCAGUGGUGAAAUCCCGGGGCUCAACCCCGGAACUGCCUUUGAUACUGGUAGUCUUGAGUUCGAGAGAGGUGAGUGGAAUUCCGAGUGUAGAGGUGAAAUUCGUAGAUAUUCGGAGGAACACCAGUGGCGAAGGCGGCUUCCUGGCAUGUUCUUGACGCUGAGGCGCGAAAGCUAGGGGAGCAAACGGG